Long non-coding RNA from Alligator sinensis (Chinese alligator), 509 nucleotides. RefSeq lists it as uncharacterized. The transcript is spliced from 3 exons. NCBI's taxonomy places the organism in Eukaryota, Metazoa, Chordata, Crocodylia, Alligatoridae. The record is from RefSeq and is a predicted model, not a curated record.
UGGAAAUCAGAGUUGUACAUACUUUUUGCUAUCUUCAAGGCCGCGGCUUUGCUGGUGACAGAGCUCAAGAGACCCUUCCAAACAGAGAUCUUUCUGCCAGGCUCUAUAAAUAUUGGUUUCACCCACAGCAACUGGAGAUGGAUCCAAAAGGCUAACAUUUACAACACAACCAAUGGGCAAUGACCUCCACACUGUCAGCUUUUUCUGGACCCUGAUCUUCAACCCAUCAAGAAAAUAUGCUUUGAAGAAACAGUAUAAAGCAAGACAGAACUGCCAGCAAGGUGUGUGCAGUCCAGGGAAGACCAAGAAGCACCCUGCCACCAAGUGAAAGAUCCAUGCUUUGCAGCUGUACAAGAACUGCUUCCUGCCUGCAUUGGGUAAAGAUCUCUUUGCAGCUAAGACAAAACUAGGACUAAUAGCUUGCUUUAUAUUGGGAAAGAGUCUUUUUCUGUUAUUUAGUUUUGUAGCUUGUUAUUAGUUAUUAAAACAAGCCUUUCUGCUAUUCAUCA